RNAcentral lists this ribosomal RNA (484 nucleotides) under uncultured bacterium. RNAcentral's name for it is "partial 16S ribosomal RNA". It matches the Rfam family "Bacterial small subunit ribosomal RNA", at positions 30 to 507 of the family's 1533-position model. The record is from RNAcentral.
AUUGAACGCUGGCGGCAGGCCUAACACAUGCAAGUCGAGCGGAUGAAGGGAGCUUGCUCCUGGAUUCAGCGGCGGACGGGUGAGUAAUGCCUAUGAAUCUGCCUGGUAGUGGGGGAUAACGUCCGGAAACGGGCGCUAAUACCGCAUACGUCCUGAGGGAGAAAGUGGGGGAUCUUCGGACCUCACGCUAUCAGAUGAGCCUAGGUCGGAUUAGCUAGUUGGUGGGGUAAAGGCCUACCAAGGCGACGAUCCGUGACUGGUCUGAGAGGAUGAUCAGUCACACUGGAACUGAGACACGGUCCAGACUCCUACGGGAGGCAGCAGUGGGGAAUAUUGGACAAUGGGCGAAAGCCUGAUCCAGCCAUGCCGCGUGUGUGAAGAAGGUCUUCGGAUUGUAAAGCACUUUAAGUUGGGAGGAAGGGCAGUAAGUUAAUACCUUGCUGUUUUGACGGUACCAACAGAAUAAGCACCGGCUAACUUCGUG